AGUGCAGGCAAGGUCAACCAGAAGUCUCUAUCAUUUCGGAGAUGCCAAUACUGUGGGAUGACCACCAAGUACAGCAGCAGCAGAAGUUGUGUGACAGAAUCUGUGAAAGUGAAGCCUGGGUCACCUUGGAGACCUCAAGUUGUUAGAGACCCCAGAGCAAUGGGACACCUGCCAAGGAAAGCUGCUAAUAGGGAAUGGAUCCAGCCCAACAGAAAAGAAUUGUGUUGCAGUCAACAAAGUGGAAGAUAGUUGGAAAUCUGAAGCGCACUUUGACAUCAGCCAUGUAGACACAGAAUUUGAAUUCUCCCAGCUGGUUUUUAGCCUUGCGUUGAAAUUGUCUUUUACCAGAUGACAAGUCCGUUAUGCAGCUUCACCUGCACUGUGCCAUCCAACAGUCUAUCUGUGAGGCUUAAUGAAGACAAGAAGAUAGAUAUUCUAUAAAGGGUGAUUAUGAGGAUGCACUGACUCUUUCCAUCAAAUAUCUUCUAGUUUCAAAGUAUCAAGUAUUCACACAUCUUUUAAAGCUUUAGGAACUGGAAUUCACAGAGAAAAUAUGAACUGACAUUUAAAUAAAUGAGCAUUCAUCUCCUGUAUGGAAGAUAAACUUCAGAA
Long non-coding RNA from Rattus rattus (black rat), 612 nucleotides. RefSeq lists it as uncharacterized. Lineage: Eukaryota; Metazoa; Chordata; Mammalia; Rodentia; Muridae. The transcript has 2 exons. The record is from RefSeq and is a predicted model, not a curated record.